GACGAACGCUGGCGGCGUGCUUAACACAUGCAAGUCGAACGGACAGGCCCUGCUCUUGCGGGUUGCUCGUGUGGCGAACGGGUGAGUAACACGUGAGUAACCUGCCCUUGUCUUUGGGAUAACUUCAGGAGACUCGGGCUCUUACCGGAUAGGAUCUCCUGCUGCAUGUUGGUGGUUGGAGAGUUUCGGCGGUGGGGGAUGGUUUCGCGGCUUAUCAGCUUGUUUGUGUGGUAGUGGCUUACCAAGGUUGCGACGGGUAGCCGGCCUGAGAGGGUGACCGGGGACAUUGGGACUGAGAUACGGACCAGAAGGGAACGGGAGGCAGUGGUGGAGAACAUUGCACAGUGGGGGGAAGUGUGAGACAACGGCGCUGCGUGCGGGAUGACGGCCUUCGGGGUGUAAACAGCUGUCGAAGGAGACGAAGAGGGAGUGACGGUACUGGAUAAAGAAGCACCGGCUAACUACGUG
This 468-nucleotide ribosomal RNA is filed under the name uncultured bacterium. Its description in RNAcentral is "partial 16S ribosomal RNA". It matches the Rfam family "Bacterial small subunit ribosomal RNA", at positions 28 to 507 of the family's 1533-position model. The record is from RNAcentral.